Molecule: non-coding RNA, 95 nt
Organism: Astrocystis sublimbata
Lineage: Eukaryota; Fungi; Ascomycota; Sordariomycetes; Xylariales; Xylariaceae
Source: the annotation of a GenBank genome assembly
CCCUUGAUAGCUCAGUUGGCAGAGCGAUGGACUGUAAUUGAUAUUAAAAAACACUUGUUAUCCACAGGUCGCCGGUUCAAAUCCGGCUCGAGGGA